GGGUGGUCCAAGUGCAGUGGUGUUUACAGCUAACUGAUCGCAGCCACUUAAUAGAUUUCAGUUCCUUCUCCACUCCUCCUGCUUUGCUUGACUAGCCUUAA
Molecule: Y RNA, 101 nt
Filed under: Zalophus californianus (California sea lion)
Lineage: Eukaryota; Metazoa; Chordata; Mammalia; Carnivora; Otariidae
Also listed under: 1 other name
Description: Y RNA (ENSZCAG00015002847.1)
Rfam family: Y RNA
About the family: Y RNAs are components of the Ro ribonucleoprotein particle (Ro RNP), in association with Ro60 and La proteins. The Y RNAs and Ro60 and La proteins are well conserved, but the function of the Ro RNP is not known.
Source: RNAcentral